This 209-nucleotide long non-coding RNA is filed under the name Mytilus galloprovincialis (Mediterranean mussel). Lineage: Eukaryota; Metazoa; Mollusca; Bivalvia; Mytilida; Mytilidae. The record is from RNAcentral.
CUGAUGAACAACAAUGAUCAACAAUAUCACAACAUUAGGAUAAACCGGUUUACUGCAUAUAAACAAAUACGUAAGCCAGCAAGGUUGUAGGCAUACAACUAGUACAAAAAUAACACAUUUAGACAAACCUGUUUACUGCCAGUAAACAAGUCUAUAUAUGUAUAAGCCAGCAUACAAGUAUACAAAACAACAUCAAAACAAAUGUGUUU